RNAcentral lists this microRNA precursor (189 nucleotides) under Oryza sativa Japonica Group (Japanese rice). RNAcentral's name for it is "MIR812 microRNA precursor family". It matches the Rfam family "MIR812 microRNA precursor family". Lineage: Eukaryota; Viridiplantae; Streptophyta; Magnoliopsida; Poales; Poaceae. The record is from Rfam by way of RNAcentral.
GUCGAGUACUUCACUCGUUUCAAAACAAACGUUUGACCGUUCAUUUUAUUUAAAAAAAUUUUAUGAUUAUUUUUUUAUUAUUAGAUGGUAAAACAUAAAUAGUAUUUUAUGUGUGACUAUUUUUUUUAAUUUUUUUAAAUAAAAUAAACGGUUAAACGUUGAACACAGAUACUUACGACAUCACUUAUU